This 259-nucleotide unclassified non-coding RNA is filed under the name uncultured Ascomycota. RNAcentral describes it as "sequence contains 5.8S rRNA gene, ITS2, 28S rRNA gene". The stretch from base 1 to 52 matches the Rfam family "5.8S ribosomal RNA", at positions 103 to 154 of the family's 154-position model. Lineage: Eukaryota; Fungi; Ascomycota. The record is from RNAcentral.
AACGCAUAUUGCGCCCUCUGGUAUUCCGGGGGGCAUGCCUGUUCGAGCGUCAUUAAAAUACUCAAGCAUUUAAAGCUUGGUUUUGGGCCUCUUUUAUCCAUUUUGGAUAGGUCUAAAAAUUAGUGGCGAUGCCCAUCUGGUUUUCAGGCGUAGUAAAAAUAUAUCUCGUUUGAAUAAUCCAGAUUUUUUGGAUAUCAGCCAAAAAUCUUUUUUUCCAAAAGUUGACCUCGGAUCAGGUAGGAGUACCCGCUGAACUUAA